GGGUGCAGAAGACAUACAGCCUCCUUAGGCUUCAGUAGGCUCCCUGAUUAUUCAGCAUGUCACAAAAAAUACAGAAAACACUGGUCUCUCCUUUUCUCUGAACUACUAUGUCAUAGGAAUGUGCUGAUGACACUGUGUCUGCUCAGAAUCCAGAGCUGGAGUACCAGAAGCCCUUCUGCACUGGAAAAGUCAUGUGGAAGAAAAUUGCACCAGCGUCUGCACAGACUAUUCCUGUCUCCUGUGAUUUCUGUACCAUUUGGAGUGGCUUGCUUAGGCCACUGAAUCUCAAUAUCUCGGCAGCAGCUAGGGUUGUGCAUGUGCAAUGCUCAUGGUGUGAGCAAAGUUGUAGGAAUGAUUUGUGUGUUUAUGUAUACCCAGUUCCUCCUUGGUUUGUCUGUCUCUCUUUACAAAUAUUAUGAAGCCAAAGGCUUCAAGGCAAUCUGCAGCCCUGGACAAAUCUGUUUACCAAUGGGUAACAUCCAGUGCAGGAGUGGGCUAUAGCACUGACAAGGUAAAAGAGUAAAAAAGACUGAAUCUAGACACUGCAAAGAGCCCAAUACUUAGAUUUCCAGCUGCCUGCAUGCACUCACUGUAUCCCUGCAAGGGAGAGAGAUUUCACUGGGGAGAAAGAUUUUGGGAGUUAGAUAUGCAUCUGAACUACCCUGGU
Molecule: long non-coding RNA, 667 nt
Organism: Tympanuchus pallidicinctus (lesser prairie-chicken)
Lineage: Eukaryota; Metazoa; Chordata; Aves; Galliformes; Phasianidae
Exons: 3
Source: RefSeq, a predicted model, not a curated record